RNAcentral lists this non-coding RNA (185 nucleotides) under uncultured Symbiodinium. The record is from RNAcentral. Lineage: Eukaryota; Dinophyceae; Suessiales; Symbiodiniaceae.
UUCUUUUAUUUGCUUUCCUGUCUAUUUCUUUCUUCUUUCAUUCCUCUUCCUCUAGUUCCCAUCUCCCGUGAUUCAUGUGGUUAGGUUAGGGAGAUGAUAGGAACAGAAGAGGAAGGAUGUGGAAGAACAAUGUAAAAGAGAAUGAUAAAUCCCUGACAUAUCUUCGUUCCUUAACUUUUGGUUUU